This 256-nucleotide ribosomal RNA is filed under the name uncultured bacterium. RNAcentral describes it as "partial 16S ribosomal RNA". It matches the Rfam family "Bacterial small subunit ribosomal RNA", at positions 524 to 778 of the family's 1533-position model. The record is from RNAcentral.
UACAGGGGGGGCAAGCGUUGUUCGGAAUUACUGGGCGUAAAGGGCUCGUAGGCGGCCAACUAAGUCACACGUGAAAUCCCCAGGCUUAACCUGGGAACUGCGUGUGAUACUGGAUGGCUUGAAUCCGGGAGAGGGAUGCGGAAUUCCAGGUGUAGCGGUGAAAUGCGUAGAUAUCUGGAGGAACACCGGUGGCGAAGGCGGCAUCCUGGACCGGUAUUGACGCUGAUGAGCGAAAGCCCAGGGGAGCAAAACGGGG